GGAUUUGAUCCUGGUCCAGGAUGAACGCUAGCGGUGUGGAUAAGGCAUACAAGUCGUACGAUUCCGAUUUAUCGGAAUAGUGGCGAACGGGUUAGUAAUACCUUGGUAACUUACCAUCAAGAUGGGGAUAGUUCGUCGAAAGGCGAGGUAAUACCCAAUAGUUCCCAAUUUUCUAUGAAGAUUGGGAUAAAGGAGUAAUCUGCUUGAUGAUAGACCUAGGUCCUAUCAGCUUGUUGGUGAGGUAACUGCUCACCAAGGCUAUGACGGGUAGGGGGUGUGAGAGCAUGGUCCCCAACAAGGGCACUGAGACACGGGCCCUACUCCUACGGGAGGCAGUAGCCGAGAAUCUUCGGCAAUGGGCGAAAGCCUGACCGAGCGACACCGCGUGUGGGAAGAAUGGUUUCGGCCUGUAAACCACUUUUCUCCAGGAAGAAUGCCGUUUAUUCGGUAUGACAUUACUGGAGGAAUAAGGAGCUGCAAACUAUGUGCCAGCAGCAGCGGUAAUACAUAGGCUUCAAGCGUUAUCCGGAUUUACUGGGCGUAAAGCGUCCUUAGGCGGUUUUGUUAGUUUGUUGUUAAAGCCUCUGGCUCAACCAGGGAGAAACAAUAAAUACGGCAAGACUAAGAGGAAGAAAGAGGUUGGCGGAACACACGGUGUAGGGGUGAAAUCCGUUGAUAUCGUGUGGAACACCGAAAGCGAAGGCAGCCAACUGGGUCUUUCCUGACGCUCAAAGACGAAAGCGUGGGUAGCAAAAAGGAUUAGAUACCCUUGUAGUCCACGCCCUAAACGAUGGGUGCUAGUUGCUGGUAGUAUCGACCCUAUCAGUGACGAAGCUUACGCGUUAAGCACCCCGCCUGGGAAGUACGGUCGCAAGACUAAAACUCAAAGGAAUAGACGGGAGUUCGCACAAGCGGUGGAACAUGAGGUUUAAUUCGAUAACAAACGAAGAACCUUACCAGGGCUUGAAACUCCGAUGAAAUUCCGGUGAAAACCGGAACCUCUGCAAGGACAUCGGAACAGGUGCUGCAUGGUUGUCGUCAGCUCGUGGCGCGAGUCGUUCCCUUCAGUGGGGAAACGAGCGCAACCCCUAUCCUAUGUUACAAGUGUCAUAGGAGACC
Molecule: ribosomal RNA, 1119 nt
Filed under: metagenome
Description: bacterial SSU rRNA
Rfam family: Bacterial small subunit ribosomal RNA
Source: RNAcentral